Molecule: non-coding RNA, 73 nt
Organism: Puma concolor (puma)
Lineage: Eukaryota; Metazoa; Chordata; Mammalia; Carnivora; Felidae
Source: the annotation of a RefSeq genome assembly
ACCUGGCUGGCUCAGCUGGUAGAGCAUGUGACUCUUGAUCUCAGGGUUGUGGGUUCAAGCCCCAUGUUGGGUG